ACCAGCAAUACUUAUAUCAACAUUGUCAUAUAAAUCUUGUAUCUGCAACUGACAGUAUGCCAUAUGAUCAAGCGCGACAAUCUAUGUGGAAUUAAGCAGUUAUCUCUAUGUAAAGAUGUAAAUUUAAAUAAUUAUUAUACUUGUGAAUUUUAUUAUUGUAUUUUAAUUUUUAUUCUAUAUCAGGUAUAAUUGUUUUUUACUUACAAAAAGCUUACAUGCAUGUUAAUUGAUGAGUAUAAUAAGGUAUAUAUAGCAAAUAUAAAUAAUUAUUUAUUUAAAUCUUUCAAAAUAAUAUUAUAAGAGUUUAUUGGAAUCAAAAAAAUCAAAAAAAAUCCGUGCCAAAGCGUGCCAGUAGGAGGUCGUGCGUAUCUGUCGGCACGCAAGCGUGCCACGUGUCGGCACGCAAGCGUGCCCGUGCCGUACCGUGCCAGGGCUGUAACGGCACGCCCCCGUGCCACGGCACUUUAAACCUUGACCUCAGUAAAGCAAUAGUUAGAGCUUUUUUUAUAAGACUUACUUAGCACCGUCAGAUAUAUGGG
This 539-nucleotide long non-coding RNA is filed under the name Ananas comosus (pineapple). RNAcentral's name for it is "long non-coding RNA (ACOM_LNC043276)". Lineage: Eukaryota; Viridiplantae; Streptophyta; Magnoliopsida; Poales; Bromeliaceae. The record is from RNAcentral.